UACGAAGGGUGCAAGCGUUAAUCGGAAUCACUGGGCGUAAAGCGCACGUAGGCGGAUUGCUAAGUCAGGGGUGAAAUCCUGGAGCUCAACUCCAGAACUGCCUUUGAUACUGGCGAUCUUGAGUCCGGGAGAGGUGAGUGGAACUGCGAGUGUAGAGGUGAAAUUCGUAGAUAUUCGCAAGAACACCAGUGGCGAAGGCGGCUCACUGGCCCGGUACUGACGCUGAGGUGCGAAAGCGUGGGGAGCAAACAGG
This 253-nucleotide ribosomal RNA is filed under the name uncultured bacterium. RNAcentral describes it as "partial 16S ribosomal RNA". It matches the Rfam family "Bacterial small subunit ribosomal RNA", at positions 524 to 776 of the family's 1533-position model. The record is from RNAcentral.